Molecule: ribosomal RNA, 465 nt
Filed under: uncultured Klebsiella sp.
Lineage: Bacteria; Pseudomonadati; Pseudomonadota; Gammaproteobacteria; Enterobacterales; Enterobacteriaceae
Description: bacterial SSU rRNA
Rfam family: Bacterial small subunit ribosomal RNA
Source: RNAcentral
CCUACGGGCGGCAGCAGUGGGGAAUAUUGCACAAUGGGCGCAAGCCUGAUGCAGCCAUGCCGCGUGUGUGAAGAAGGCCUUCGGGUUGUAAAGCACUUUCAGCGGGGAGGAAGGCGUUAAGGUUAAUAACCUUGGCGAUUGACGUUACCCGCAGAAGAAGCACCGGCUAACUCCGUGCCAGCAGCCGCGGUAAUACGGAGGGUGCAAGCGUUAAUCGGAAUUACCGGGCGUAAAGCGCACGCAGGCGGUCUGUCAAGUCGGAUGUGAAAUCCCCGGGCUCAACCUGGGAACUGCAUUCGAAACUGGCAGGCUAGAGUCUUGUAGAGGGGGGUAGAAUUCCAGGUGUAGCGGUGAAAUGCGUAGAGAUCUGGAGGAAUACCGGUGGCGAAGGCGGCCCCCUGGACAAAGACUGACGCUCAGGUGCGAAAGCGUGGGGAGCAAACAGGAUUAGAUACCCGGGUAGUC